RNAcentral lists this long non-coding RNA (603 nucleotides) under Mytilus galloprovincialis (Mediterranean mussel). The record is from RNAcentral. Lineage: Eukaryota; Metazoa; Mollusca; Bivalvia; Mytilida; Mytilidae.
UGUUCAUUCCAAAAAUAUUCAAUCUAUUAUCUUUUGUAACAUUUUAUACAGAAUCAUUUCGUCCCACAUGAAAUUACAUAGGAUAGCAAAAAUCCUGGAAAAAUCUAUAAUUUGUUGUUUCAUCCUUCUGCCAUUGGGAGUUAGCAAAUAGGAUUACAAUACAUGCAGACAUCAACUAUAUGUUUUUAAGAAAUCAUACUCAUCAAGCUCCAGCAGUUUCUAGCUAGGUACAUCCCUCAUACUUUCAAGUAAACAAUGCUGACACACACAUAAGACUUCAUGAAAACAAUAGCACUCUGUUCAGCAAUUUCAGAAAUAAUCGUUAUUAUGAUAAUAAAAAUAAUUAUUCAUUCAGAAAAUGAUAAUUCCUAUAUCAUCCAUGUUAUUUCAGAUGAAUACAUGUUUGGUCCUCAUCACCUUAGGUACAUUACGUCAUUUUUUUUUCUUUUCUAUUUGACAAGAAAUUGCACAAAGUUUAUGCUACCAGAAGUUUUUGCUAUGGCUCUUAUCAAUCUUCAUCAUCACUUUCAAUAAUGUUUUUCUUCUGAAGAACUCUACGUAAUGGAACAUGAUCAUCCUCUUCAGAAUCAUCUGAAUCUAAUG